AGAAUGAUUUUCUUUUCUCUUACAGUAGGAAAGGUUUACUUGUUCACAUAGUUUAGGGGCAUCAGAGCCUGCGAUGAGGUGGAACAUCAUGGCAUGAAGCAAAAAACUACUCGCCACAUCACAGACAGAAAGCAGUGUUAGAGAGAGACAGACAAAAAUACAACUUCAGGGUGUAUCCUCCAACCAAUCCCACUUCCUCAAGUGUCUACCAUCUUCCAACAGGGUUACUAGCUAGGGGACAAGUUUUAAUUAAAGGAGUCUUUGUGAAUAUCCAGAUCCAAAAUAUUCUGGAAGUUCUUUUGGACCCUACCUGAAUCCUGAUCAGCUACUACCAACUUCCUUGGUGCCCUGUUAGUCCUGGAGCCGACUUUCAGGGUUGUUUGAACAGGGCUGCUCAGCUCAGCAGCUUAUCGAAGUUCACAGUUCCAGGUGCUGGAAUCUGAGAUGCAGCUGCAGUAGACACUCCCUGCAGAAACCUGGGCAUGUAUGAGUUGGAGGUGAACCCGUUCUGGUGGAGUGGAGCUGGCUCACUUACGUCUGUCUCCCCAUGGUCAGAGCCUCCUAGGAACCUUCCAAUCUUGGAGAGCUACACUUUACAAGAGAGCAGCCAUUGCAUAACACCUCAGAAGCAAGCAGGAUCCUGCAGAUAAAGCUGAAAGAGAAGAAUGGACCACACCUUGUGGAGGGAGAUGGCUCUGAGCCUGCCCGAGACAGAUGCAUUCGGGGAAUUCCCAUGACUCAGGGCUUGGGGAAUAUAGACAGCAAAUCAUGUUUAAAUGCAACUUUAAUAAAUAAGUGAU
Long non-coding RNA from Mus musculus (house mouse), 800 nucleotides. RefSeq annotates it as predicted gene, 32020. The record is from RefSeq and is a predicted model, not a curated record. Lineage: Eukaryota; Metazoa; Chordata; Mammalia; Rodentia; Muridae. The transcript has 3 exons.